Molecule: ribosomal RNA, 496 nt
Filed under: uncultured bacterium
Lineage: Bacteria
Description: partial 16S ribosomal RNA
Rfam family: Bacterial small subunit ribosomal RNA
Source: RNAcentral
GAUGAACGCUGGCGGCGUGCCUAAUACAUGCAAGUCGAGCGAACAGACGAGGAGCUUGCUCCUCUGACGUUAGCGGCGGACGGGUGAGUAACACGUGGAUAACCUACCUAUAAGACUGGGAUAACUUCGGGAAACCGGAGCUAAUACCGGAUAAUAUAUUGAACCGCAUGGUUCAAUAGUGAAAGACGGUUUUGCUGUCACUUAUAGAUGGAUCCGCGCCGCAUUAGCUAGUUGGUAAGGUAACGGCUUACCAAGGCAACGAUGCGUAGCCGACCUGAGAGGGGGUUCGGCCACACUGGAGCUGAGCCACGGUCCAGACUCCUACGGGCGGCAGCGGUAGGGAAUCUUCCGCAAUGGGCGAAAGCCUGACGGAGCAACGCCGCGUGAGUGAUGAAGGUCUGCGUAUCGUAAAACGCUGUUAUUAGGGAAGAACAAAUGUGUAAGUAACGAUGCACGUCUUGACGGUACCUAAUCAGAAAGCCACGGCUAACUACGU